UACGAAGGGGGCUAGCGUUGUUCGGAAUUACUGGGCGUAAAGCGUGCGCAGGCGGCUUCUCAAGUCAGGGGUGAAAGCCCAGAGCUCAACUCUGGAAUUGCCUUUGAGACUGAGUGGCUUGAGUACGAGAGAGGUGAGUGGAAUUCCCAGUGUAGAGGUGAAAUUCGUAGAUAUUGGGAAGAACACCGGUGGCGAAGGCGGCUCACUGGCUCGUAACUGACGCUGAGACACGAAAGCGUGGGUAGCAAACAGG
This 253-nucleotide ribosomal RNA is filed under the name uncultured bacterium. RNAcentral's name for it is "partial 16S ribosomal RNA". It matches the Rfam family "Bacterial small subunit ribosomal RNA", at positions 524 to 776 of the family's 1533-position model. The record is from RNAcentral.